CCCGGCUAGCCUCUGAAGAUCACGUUUACGUAGAAAGCCAGACCAAGUCAGACUCAGUCCAUCUCAAACAAGCCUAUUGCAAGUUGCAAGUUUAA
Long non-coding RNA from Alosa sapidissima (American shad), 95 nucleotides. RefSeq lists it as uncharacterized. The record is from RefSeq and is a predicted model, not a curated record. Lineage: Eukaryota; Metazoa; Chordata; Actinopteri; Clupeiformes; Clupeidae. The transcript is spliced from 3 exons.